CACGCAUAGCUCAAUGGCAGAGCAGUGUAUUCACCGACGCGGGUUCGAAUCCCGCUGCGUGCA
Molecule: transfer RNA, 63 nt
Filed under: Levilactobacillus brevis
Lineage: Bacteria; Bacillati; Bacillota; Bacilli; Lactobacillales; Lactobacillaceae
Description: tRNA-OTHER
Rfam family: tRNA
About the family: Transfer RNA (tRNA) molecules are approximately 80 nucleotides in length. Their secondary structure includes four short double-helical elements and three loops (D, anti-codon, and T loops). Further hydrogen bonds mediate the characteristic L-shaped molecular structure. tRNAs have two regions of fundamental functional importance: the anti-codon, which is responsible for specific mRNA codon recognition, and the 3' end, to which the tRNAs corresponding amino acid is attached (by aminoacyl-tRNA synthetases). tRNAs cope with the degeneracy of the genetic code in two manners: having more than one tRNA (with a specific anti-codon) for a particular amino acid; and 'wobble' base-pairing, i.e. permitting non-standard base-pairing at the 3rd anti-codon position.
Source: RNAcentral